Molecule: ribosomal RNA, 431 nt
Filed under: uncultured bacterium
Lineage: Bacteria
Description: partial 16S ribosomal RNA
Rfam family: Bacterial small subunit ribosomal RNA
Source: RNAcentral
AACGAACGCUGGCGGCAGGCCUAACACAUGCAAGUCGAGCGCCCCGCCAGGGGAGCGGCUGACGGGUGAGUAACGCGUGGGAAUAUGCCCUUUGCUACGGAAUAGUCUCGGGAAACUGGGGGUAAUACCGUAUACGCCCUUUGGGGGCAAGAUUUAUCGGCGAAGGAUUAGCCCGCGUUGGAUUAGGUAGUUGGUGGGGUAAUGGCCUACCAAGCCGACGAUCCAUAGCUGGUUUGAGAGGAUGAUCAGCCACACUGGGACUGAGACACGGCCCAGACUCCUACGGGAGGCAGCAGUGGGGAAUCUUAGACAAUGGGGGCAACCCUGAUCUAGCCAUGCCGCGUGAGUGAUGAAGGCCUUAGGGUUGUAAAGCUCUUUCAGCUGGGAAGAUAAUGACGGUACCAGCAGAAGAAGCCCCGGCUAACUCCGUG